UUGAGGAAUUUGAAGAGUUCAACUUAUAGACUUGAAGAUUUUGAAGACCUAAACUUGCAGACUUGAAGAAUUUGAAGACUUCAACU
Molecule: microRNA precursor, 86 nt
Filed under: Solanum tuberosum (potato)
Lineage: Eukaryota; Viridiplantae; Streptophyta; Magnoliopsida; Solanales; Solanaceae
Description: MIR8024 microRNA precursor family
Rfam family: MIR8024 microRNA precursor family
Source: Rfam by way of RNAcentral